RNAcentral lists this ribosomal RNA (450 nucleotides) under uncultured organism. Its description in RNAcentral is "partial 16S ribosomal RNA". It matches the Rfam family "Bacterial small subunit ribosomal RNA", at positions 334 to 800 of the family's 1533-position model. The record is from RNAcentral.
CACUCCUACGGGAGGCAGCAGUGGGGAAUAUUGGACAAUGGGCGCAAGCCUGAUCCAGCCAUGCCGCGUGAGUGAUGAAGGCCCUAGGGUUGUAAAGCUCUUUCACCGGUGAAGAUAAUGACGGUAACCGGAGAAGAAGCCCCGGCUAACUUCGUGCCAGCAGCCGCGGUAAUACGAAGGGGGCUAGCGUUGUUCGGAUUUACUGGGCGUAAAGCGCACGUAGGCGGACUAUUAAGUCAGGGGUGAAAUCCCGGGGCUCAACCCCGGAACUGCCUGUGAUACUGGUAGUCUUGAGUUCGAGAGAGGUGAGUGGAAUUCCGAGUGUAGAGGUGAAAUUCGUAGAUAUUCGGAGGAACACCAGUGGCGAAGGCGGCUCACUGGCUCGAUACUGACGCUGAGGUGCGAAAGCGUGGGGAGCAAACAGGAUUAGAAACCCCUGUAGUCCCAUGA